Molecule: ribosomal RNA, 448 nt
Filed under: uncultured bacterium
Lineage: Bacteria
Description: bacterial SSU rRNA
Rfam family: Bacterial small subunit ribosomal RNA
Source: RNAcentral
GCCCAGACUCCUACGGGAGGCAGCAGUGGGGAAUAUUGCACAAUGGGGGAAACCCUGAUGCAGCAACGCCGCGUGAGUGAAGAAGUCAUUCGUGAUGUAAAGCUCUAUCGGCAGGGAAGAAGCAAGACGGUACCUGACUAAGAAGCCCCGGCUAACUACGUGCCAGCAGCCGCGGUAAUACGUAGGGGGCGAGCGUUAUCCGGAUUCACUGGGUGUAAAGGGAGCGUAGGCGGGGAUGCAAGUUGGGUGUCAAAACUACCGGCUCAACUGGUAGUCGCACUCAAAACUGCAGCUCUUGAGUGAAGUAGAGGCAGGCGGAAUUCCUAGUGUAGCGGUGAAAUGCGUAGAUAUCAGGAGGAACACCGGCGGCGAAGGCGGCCUGCUGGACCGCGACUGACGUUGAGGCUCGAAAGCGUGGGGAGCGAACAGGAUUAGAUACCCGUGUAUG